CUAGCUUCUUCUUUGUCUUAGUUUCAUUUCCCAAAAUUAUGUAUCUGGUAAAUGAGACUAAUACAAUAAUAUUGUUGAACUUUUAGAGAAAAAUUUCAAACAAACUUUUGUACAUCAAUAUCGAUGAACAUCAAUCCUUCCCUUUGCUCAAGUGCAUCAUGCCAAACAUUGGAACAAGGGAAAUAAGAGCUCUGGUUGAGGAAAAUUGUUGAAAAUGGAUUUUAAUUCAUGACUUACUACCACAGAUACAAGAAUAUGUCAACAGAAUAUUUGAAUGGCUUGAGGGAAAUACUUAAGAUGAAAAAAGAGGUAAAGAUUAGAAAGAACUAUAUUUUGGAUAAUUAAAUUUUUGAAUGGACA
Molecule: long non-coding RNA, 360 nt
Filed under: Phascolarctos cinereus (koala)
Lineage: Eukaryota; Metazoa; Chordata; Mammalia; Diprotodontia; Phascolarctidae
Description: lncRNA (ENSPCIG00000034789.1)
Source: RNAcentral